Non-coding RNA from Phoenix dactylifera (date palm), 711 nucleotides. The record is from RefSeq and is a predicted model, not a curated record. Lineage: Eukaryota; Viridiplantae; Streptophyta; Magnoliopsida; Arecales; Arecaceae.
AAUGAUUUCAAAUAACAAAAUCUGCACCAGCCCGCGUGCCUCUUUCCAAAACAGGCCCGUCUGAAUUGAUUUGAGACUCGGGGGUGGGGCUCCCACUUUGGUGGCUUAUUUGACCCCGACUCCCCUCUCUCUGUCGCCUCUCCUCCCAACGCCUCCGGACAUCCCCCUUCUCGCCGGCGGCCACGGAAGCUCUCCAGGAGUCCAUAGGCCGACGGACGGUGGAGAUCCCUUCUCCGCCUCCUCGGUGGCCUCCCAUUCUUCCCUCUCACGAACCCUAGGUUCGCAGAAAGGAGGCAGAGCAACAAUGCAGGAGCUGAGAGAAGGAAGGACGCGGACGCCGCUCUCCAGUUCUCUUGCUCUUAAUCCAUCUUCCAUAACGCCGACACUGCGGAAAUGUCCCUGUUCUAGCUUUGAACUGGACUGGAGAAGAGGUCAAAACAGAACAUGGUGAUAGCUGAUAACAAAUUAUGGCAAUUCUUGCAGAGUUCAACCUGGGUAAUAUCAAGCGCCGGAGGCACAGUUAGGGGCGUUCCUGAUAGUUGCCUAGAAUUAUACUUGGUGCUUUCACAUUGUAUGGGAGUGAAUUUUCAGCAGGAGCUUGAAAUGUUCUGAUAUGGCAAUCUAGCAUGCAGCUUUUUUCAAAGACUAAUACAUUACCUUGAAGUACUUGUCCUAGUCUCCAAGGCAUUGACAAAAUUCACAAUUUUUCUA